RNAcentral lists this small nucleolar RNA (83 nucleotides) under Zostera marina. Its description in RNAcentral is "Small nucleolar RNA SNORD34". It matches the Rfam family "Small nucleolar RNA SNORD34". From Rfam's summary of the family: snoRNA U34 is found in intron 5 of the ribosomal protein L13a gene in humans. U34 is a member of the C/D class of snoRNA which contain C (UGAUGA) and D (CUGA) box motifs, and functions in directing site-specific 2'-O-methylation of 25S rRNAs. The record is from Rfam by way of RNAcentral. Lineage: Eukaryota; Viridiplantae; Streptophyta; Magnoliopsida; Alismatales; Zosteraceae.
AUCUCCAGUGAUGAGUUGCAGAUGUAUUGCCUACAUUGUUUGAUUAUAUUAUCCGUGAGAAGAAUCUGCGUUCUGAGGCAUUU